AAGACACCCAAACAUCAACAAAAGUUGCUGAGGUUCUCUGAAGCAGUAGGUUGUUACCACAAAAGCAUGCCUGAAUCUUAAAUCCUAUCUCAGGUAACCAAGCUAAGAUGAUGCCUUUCCACUGUAAAAAUAUGAAUGGAUUUUGAAUGUAGUGAAGAUAACAUUUUAUAUCUCUCUUUUAGAGCCGAAAAAUGUUCUGCUUCCUAACUGGUCUUCACACAGACAGAAAGAAGGUUACGUAAAACAAUUAAUCUCAAUAAAAACUCAUUUUAUGGAUUACUUACAUACAUUCAGUACGGAAAUACAGACAGAGAUUGAGGGUCAGGUGAAGUUUUAUAGCUGGACAACCAAACUGCAAAGUCUUACACUUCAAAGAAAUCUUCUCCACUGGAACAUAGUUAAAAAAAUGGUCUAACAGGUGCUAAGAUACCAUAUCCAACUAUUUUCAUCAUAACAGCAUUAAAGAGUAUCAUCAGUCUUCCUUUAAAAAUCCAACAAUAAACUACGUGUCUUGGCAAGUGAGUCA
This 526-nucleotide long non-coding RNA is filed under the name Felis catus (domestic cat). RNAcentral describes it as "lncRNA (ENSFCAG00000046889.1)". The record is from RNAcentral. Lineage: Eukaryota; Metazoa; Chordata; Mammalia; Carnivora; Felidae.